GACGAACGCUGGCGGCGUGCUUAACACAUGCAAGUCGAACGGAAAGGCCCCUUUGGGGGUACUCGAGUGGCGAACGGGUGAGUAACACGUGAGUAACCUGCCCUUGACUUCGGGAUAACUUCAGGAAACUGGGGCUAAUACCGGAUAGGAAUCCUUGCUGCAUGGUGGGGGUUGGAAAGCUUCGGCGGUUUUGGAUGGACUCGCGGCUUAUCAGCUUGUUGGUGGGGUAGUGGCUUACCAAGGCUUUGACGGGUAGCCGGCCUGAGAGGGCGACCGGCCACAUUGGGACUGAGAUACGGCCCAGACUCCUACGGGAGGCAGCAGUGGGGAAUAUUGCACAAUGGGCGGAAGCCUGAUGCAGCAACGCCGCGUGCGGGAUGACGGCCUUCGGGUUGUAAACCACUUUCAGCAGGGGCGAAGCUUGUGGUGACGGUACCUGCAGAAGAAGCACCGGCUAACUACGUG
RNAcentral lists this ribosomal RNA (465 nucleotides) under uncultured bacterium. RNAcentral's name for it is "partial 16S ribosomal RNA". It matches the Rfam family "Bacterial small subunit ribosomal RNA", at positions 28 to 507 of the family's 1533-position model. The record is from RNAcentral.